RNAcentral lists this ribosomal RNA (274 nucleotides) under uncultured bacterium. Its description in RNAcentral is "partial 16S ribosomal RNA". It matches the Rfam family "Bacterial small subunit ribosomal RNA", at positions 523 to 796 of the family's 1533-position model. The record is from RNAcentral.
AGACGAAGGUGGCGACCGUUGUUCGGAAUUACUGGGCAUAAAGAGCACGUAGGCGGAGACGUAAGUCGGGUGUGAAAUCCCUCGACCCAACCGAGGAACUGCGCUCGAAACUGCGGCUCUUGAGGACAGGAGGGGAACGUGGAAUUCCUGGUGGAGCGGUGAAAUGCGUUGAUAUCAGGAGGAACACCGGCGGCGAAGGCGACGUGCUGGCCUGUUUCUGACGCUGAGGUGCGAAAGCCAGGGGAGCAAACGGGAUUAGAAACCCCAGUAGUCC